AACUCCUGUUUUAACGGUGUUGUCUGAGCUGCAAGCAACGAAUCAAAACUUUCAACAACGGAUCUCUUGGUUCUGGCAUCGAUGAAGAACGCAGCGAAAUGCGAUAAGUAGUGUGAAUUGCAGAAUUCAGUGAAUCAUCGAAUCUUUGAACGCACAUUGCGCCCCUUGGUAUCCCGAGGGGCAUGCCUGUUCGAGCGUCAUUUCACCACUCAAGCCCGGCUUGGUGUUGGGCGACGUCUCCUUUAGGGACGCGCCUCGAAACGCUCGGCGGCGUGGCACCGGCUUUAAGCGUAGCAGAAUCUUUCGCUUUGAAAGUCGGGGCCUCGUCUGCCGGAAGACCUACUCGUAAGGUUGACCUCGGAUCAGGUAGGGAUACCCGCUGAACUUAAGCAUAUCAAUAAGCGGAG
This 407-nucleotide ribosomal RNA is filed under the name uncultured Cenococcum. RNAcentral describes it as "eukaryotic LSU rRNA". The stretch from base 47 to 200 matches the Rfam family "5.8S ribosomal RNA". The record is from RNAcentral. Lineage: Eukaryota; Fungi; Ascomycota; Dothideomycetes; Gloniales; Gloniaceae.